AUAGCGUAUAUUAAAGUUGUUGCAGUUAGAACGCUCGUAGUCGGAUUUCGGGGCGGUCCGACCGGUCUGCCGAUGGGUACGCACUGGUCGGAGCGUCCUUUUUGCCGGAGACCGUGCCUACUCUUAACUGAGCGGGGGCGGGAGACGGCACUUUUACUUUGAAAAAAUCAGAGUGUUUCAAGCAGGCAGCUCGCUCUUGCAUGGAUUAGCAUGGGAUAAUGAAAUAGGACUUUGGUGCUAUUUUGUUGGUUUCGAACACCGAAGUAAUGAUGAGAAGGGACAGUCAGGGGCACUCGUAUUCCGCCGAGAGAGGUGAAAUUCUCAGACCAGCGGAAGACGAACCACUGCGAAAGCAUUUGCCAGGGAUGUUUUCACUGAUCAAGAACGAAAGUUAGGGGAUCGAAGACGAUCAGGUACCGUCGUAGUCUUAACCAUAAACCAUGCCGACUAGGGAUUGGAGGAUGUUCACUGAUUGACUCCUUCAGCACCUUACGGGAAACUAAAGUCUUUGGGUUCCGGGGGGAGUAUGGUCGCAAGGCUGAAACUUAAA
RNAcentral lists this ribosomal RNA (550 nucleotides) under Haptophyta environmental samples. RNAcentral's name for it is "SSU rRNA". It matches the Rfam family "Eukaryotic small subunit ribosomal RNA", at positions 594 to 1148 of the family's 1831-position model. The record is from RNAcentral. Lineage: Eukaryota; Haptophyta.